Molecule: ribosomal RNA, 484 nt
Filed under: uncultured bacterium
Lineage: Bacteria
Description: partial 16S ribosomal RNA
Rfam family: Bacterial small subunit ribosomal RNA
Source: RNAcentral
AUUGAACGCUGGCGGCAGGCCUAACACAUGCAAGUCGAGCGGAUGAGUGGAGCUUGCUCCAUGAUUCAGCGGCGGACGGGUGAGUAAUGCCUAGGAAUCUGCCUGGUAGUGGGGGACAACGUUUCGAAAGGAACGCUAAUACCGCAUACGUCCUACGGGAGAAAGUGGGGGAUCUUCGGACCUCACGCUAUCAGAUGAGCCUAGGUCGGAUUAGCUAGUUGGUGAGGUAAAGGCUCACCAAGGCGACGAUCCGUAACUGGUCUGAGAGGAUGAUCAGUCACACUGGAACUGAGACACGGUCCAGACUCCUACGGGAGGCAGCAGUGGGGAAUAUUGGACGAGGGGCGAAAGCCUGAUCCAGCCAUGCCGCGUGUGUGAAGAAGGUCUUCGGAUUGUAAAGCACUGUAAGUUGGGAGGAAGGGCAGUAAGUUAAGACCUGGCUGUUUUGACGUUACCAACAGAAUAAGCACCGGCUAACUUCGUG